GCCGGGUGUGGUGGCACGUGCCUGUAAUCCCAGCUACUCGGGAGGCUGAGGCAGGAGAAUUGCUUGAACCCGGGAGGCAGAGGUUGCAGUGAGCCGAGAUCAUGCCACUGCACUCCAGCCUGGGUGACAGAGCGAGAUUCCGUCUCUC
Molecule: small RNA, 148 nt
Filed under: Macaca fascicularis (crab-eating macaque)
Lineage: Eukaryota; Metazoa; Chordata; Mammalia; Primates; Cercopithecidae
Description: Metazoan signal recognition particle RNA (ENSMFAG00000057997.1)
Source: Rfam by way of RNAcentral